RNAcentral lists this ribosomal RNA (411 nucleotides) under Actinomycetes bacterium. Its description in RNAcentral is "Actinobacteria bacterium partial 16S ribosomal RNA". It matches the Rfam family "Bacterial small subunit ribosomal RNA", at positions 355 to 776 of the family's 1533-position model. Lineage: Bacteria; Bacillati; Actinomycetota; Actinomycetes. The record is from RNAcentral.
UGGGGAAUAUUGCACAAUGGGCGCAAGCCUGAUGCAGCGACGCCGCGUGGGGGAUGACGGCCUUCGGGUUGUAAACUCCUUUCGCUAGGGACGAAGCUUUUUGUGACGGUACCUAGAUAAGAAGCACCGGCUAACUACGUGCCAGCAGCCGCGGUAAUACGUAGGGUGCGAGCGUUGUCCGGAAUUACUGGGCGUAAAGGGCUCGUAGGUGGUUUGUCGCGUCGUCUGUGAAAUUCCGGGGCUUAACUCCGGGCGUGCAGGCGAUACGGGCAUAACUUGAGUACUGUAGGGGUAACUGGAAUUCCUGGUGUAGCGGUGAAAUUCGUAGAUAUUCGGAGGAACACCAGUGGCGAAGGCGGCUCACUGGACCAUUACUGACGCUGAGGUGCGAAAGCGUGGGGAGCAAACAGG